This 756-nucleotide ribosomal RNA is filed under the name uncultured bacterium. Its description in RNAcentral is "bacterial SSU rRNA". It matches the Rfam family "Bacterial small subunit ribosomal RNA", at positions 102 to 844 of the family's 1533-position model. The record is from RNAcentral.
ACGGGUGAGUAACACGUGGGUAACCUGCCCAUCAGAAGGGGAUAACACUUGGAAACAGGUGCUAAUACCGUAUAACACUAUUUUCCGCAUGGAAGAAAGUUGAAAGGCGCUUUUGCGUCACUGAUGGAUGGACCCGCGGUGCAUUAGCUAGUUGGUGAGGUAACGGCUCACCAAGGCCACGAUGCAUAGCCGACCUGAGAGGGUGAUCGGCCACACUGGGACUGAGACACGGCCCAGACUCCUACGGGAGGCAGCAGUAGGGAAUCUUCGGCAAUGGACGAAAGUCUGACCGAGCAACGCCGCGUGAGUGAAGAAGGUUUUCGGAUCGUAAAACUCUGUUGUUAGAGAAGAACAAGGAUGAGAGUAGAACGUUCAUCCCUUGACGGUAUCUAACCAGAAAGCCACGGCUAACUACGUGCCAGCAGCCGCGGUAAUACGUAGGUGGCAAGCGUUGUCCGGAUUUAUUGGGCGUAAAGCGAGCGCAGGCGGUUUCUUAAGUCUGAUGUGAAAGCCCCCGGCUCAACCGGGGAGGGUCAUUGGAAACUGGGAGACUUGAGUGCAGAAGAGGAGAGUGGAAUUCCAUGUGUAGCGGUGAAAUGCGUAGAUAUAUGGAGGAACACCAGUGGCGAAGGCGGCUCUCUGGUCUGUAACUGACGCUGAGGCUCGAAAGCGUGGGGAGCGAACAGGAUUAGAUACCCUGGUAGUCCACGCCGUAAACGAUGAGCGCUAAGUGUUGGAGGGUUUCCGCCCUUCAGU